AUUGAACGCUGGCGGUAGGCCUAAAACAUGCAAGUCGAGCGGGGUGAUGGUGCUUGCACUAUCACUUAGAGGCGGACGGUCGAGUAAUGCUUAGGAAUCUGCCUAUUAGUGGGGGACAACACUUCGACAGGAAUGCUAAUACCGCAUACGUCCUACGAGAGAAAGCAGGGGAUCUUCGGACCUUUCGCUCAUAGAUGAGCCUAAGUCGUAUUAGCUAGUUGGUGGGGUAAAGGCCUACCAAGGCGAGGAUCUGGAGCGGGUCUGAGAGGAUGAUCCGCCACACUGGAACUGAGACACGUCCCAGACUCCCACGGGAAGCAGCAGUGGGGAAUAUUGGACAAUGGGCGCAAGCCUUAUCCAGCCAUGCCGCGUGUGUGAAGAAGUCCUUAUGGUUGUAAAGCACUUUAAGCGAGGAGGAGGCUACUUUAGUUAAUACCUAGAGAUAGUGGACGUUACUCGCAGAAUAAGCACCGGCUAACUCUGUGCCAGCCGCCGCAGUAA
Molecule: ribosomal RNA, 501 nt
Filed under: uncultured bacterium
Lineage: Bacteria
Description: partial 16S ribosomal RNA
Rfam family: Bacterial small subunit ribosomal RNA
Source: RNAcentral